RNAcentral lists this ribosomal RNA (301 nucleotides) under uncultured bacterium. RNAcentral's name for it is "partial 16S ribosomal RNA". It matches the Rfam family "Bacterial small subunit ribosomal RNA", at positions 509 to 808 of the family's 1533-position model. The record is from RNAcentral.
CAGUCGCCGCGGGAAUACGGAGGGUGCAAGCGUUAAUCGGAAUUACUGGGCGUAAAGCGCACGCAGGCGGUCUGACAAGUCAGAUGUGAAAUCCCCGGGCUUAACCUGGGAACUGCAUUUGAAACUGUCAGGCUGGAGUCUUGUAGAGGGGGGUGGAAUUCCAGGUGUAGCGGUGAAAUGCGUAGAGAUCUGGAGGAAUACCGGUGGCGAAGGCGGCCCCCUGGACAAAGACUGACGCUCAGGUGCGAAAGCGUGGGGAGCAAACAGGAUUAGAUACCCCUGUAGUCCUGUCUCUUAUACC